UCCCCGAUAGCUCAGUUGGGAGAGCAACUGACUGUUAAUCAGUGGGUCACUGGUUCGAGCCCAGUUCGGGGAGCCA
RNAcentral lists this transfer RNA (76 nucleotides) under Gammaproteobacteria bacterium. RNAcentral's name for it is "tRNA-Asn". It matches the Rfam family "tRNA". From Rfam's summary of the family: Transfer RNA (tRNA) molecules are approximately 80 nucleotides in length. Their secondary structure includes four short double-helical elements and three loops (D, anti-codon, and T loops). Lineage: Bacteria; Pseudomonadati; Pseudomonadota; Gammaproteobacteria. The record is from RNAcentral.